AUUGAACGCUGGCGGCAGGCCUAACACAUGCAAGUCGAGCGGUAGAGAGGUGCUUGCACCUCUUGAGAGCGGCGGACGGGUGAGUAAUGCCUAGGAAUCUGCCUGGUAGUGGGGGAUAACGCUCGGAAACGGCGCUAAUACCGCAUACGUCCUACGGGAGAAAGCAGGGGACCUUCGGGCCUUGCGCUAUCAGAUGAGCC
This 200-nucleotide ribosomal RNA is filed under the name uncultured bacterium. RNAcentral describes it as "partial 16S ribosomal RNA". It matches the Rfam family "Bacterial small subunit ribosomal RNA", at positions 30 to 231 of the family's 1533-position model. The record is from RNAcentral.